UGCCGCCUCGUCCGCAGCCCCUCUCGUUGCUGCUCGCGUUUAAGGAUUCGGAUUUGAUCUAGGGAUUCUUCACCGAUGUGGAUAAAAUGAAAAUGCUGUUAGCUGAUUGCUACAUUUCGGUAGGGGUAAAAAACAUAAAUAAAAUUUUAUAUACAUCAUAUAGUAUAUAUUCUCUUUUUCCCAAGGAAAGAAUUAUACUUUUGUUUGUGCUGUAUUUGCGAACUCUUAAUUUCUUGUUUCAAGAGUUUUUUACUUGAUACAACUUGUCUAUUCUCAUUGCUUAUUAUUUGAUUGAUCAGUAAUUUUUGAGUCUUAUCAUCUUAUUCCUAAUUUUGUUUGUUGGUGCAUCGUGUAAAUAUUCAAGCUUUUGGAUUGCUUAUUAGUAAUUAUUUGAUUGAUCAGUAAUUUUUUAGUCUUACCAUCGUUUGUUGUUGGUGCAUCCUGUAAAUAUUCAAGCAUUUGGUUUAAAUAUACAGUCAGAAAUAAUACAUCUAAUUGAAUGAUGCAUGGAUGGUUCUUUUGACCUAUUUUGCAAUAUACAUUCUUUGUUGAUGUGAUCUUUAUUUUCAUUAUGCAAUCAUACAAACCCUUUGGAUACUUUCACCAGUUUUGUAUCUUAAUUUCUUUGUUUUGUAUGUUGGUGAUGUUGAAAGAUUUUUUAGUAUAUAAAAAAAGUAAUUCUUUGUGUCAUUUUCUUUUCUUAAUAUCCAAAUCUUUUGUAUUUUAGACAGAGAACUUGUAUUAUGUUGAUACAUCUUUUAUUUGCUUGUCUUGGAACAAAGCUUCAUGAAUCAUGAGCCUUGCCAAUAAUUUAGCAAAUAUCACUACUGAUGAGAAAAUGAAAUUACUUGAUCUAUAUUAGUCCAGUUUUCCAUCCUUUUGGCUAUAUGAUUACAGCUUGUUGCCCAGAGAUGGCAGUUUCUCCUUUGAUUUCAGUUUAAUUGUUUUCAGGCACUACUGCUAAACUUAACCUUCUCAUCAUUUCGUCAGUUAACUCUUUAUUUGGCUAGAUUUUUUUUGGCAGUGUCUACAUGUAAUGUGCAACAUUUUCAAAAGGGUUCUAGUUGUGUGUUGUGUUUGUUUGGUGUGAGGUGGUUGUGUGGUGGAUUCUUCUGAGGUUGUAUUUUGAGAUGGAUGAAGCAUGAGACCGUACUAGUUGAGUUGCCGUAGGUUGCAGAUUUUUACUUUGUAGAAUUUUGACUAAUUCUUGUCCUGGUCAGAGUUGUGAUUGAGCAACAGCAACACUUAAAAGGUCAAAACGUACUUUGCGCUAAAACAGUGAAAGGAAGAAUGGAUUAUGCCUUGCAAAUCAAAUGUGAGCUGCUAAGCUGUAUCAGGUGGGUGAAUAUAUAGAUUCUGUAUCGCAAACGUACAAGGAAUAAACCUGUGAAUAUGUG
Molecule: long non-coding RNA, 1397 nt
Filed under: Panax ginseng (ginseng)
Lineage: Eukaryota; Viridiplantae; Streptophyta; Magnoliopsida; Apiales; Araliaceae
Description: long non-coding RNA (PGIN_LNC004916)
Source: RNAcentral